AUUGAACGCUGGCGACAUGCCUUACACAUGCAAGUCGAACGGCAGCACGGGUGCUUGCACCUGGUGGCGAGUGGCGAACGGGUGAGUAAUACAUCGGAACAUGUCCUGUAGUGGGGGAUAGCCCGGCGAAAGCCGGAUUAAUACCGCAUACGAUCUACGGAUGAAAGCGGGGGCCCUUCGGGCCUCGCGCUAUAGGGUUGGCCGAUGGCUGAUUAGCUAGUUGGUGGGGUAAAGGCCUACCAAGGCGACGCUCAGUAGCUGGUCUGAGAGGACGACCAGUAAAACUGGGACUGAGACACGGCCCAGACUCCUACGGGAGGCAGCAGUGGGGAAUUUUGGACAAUGGGCGAAAGCCUGAUCCAGCAAUGCCGCGUGUGUGAAGAAGGCCUUCGGGUUGUAAAGCACUUUUGUCCGGAAAGAAAUCCUUGGCCCUAAUACGGUCGGGGGAUGACGGUACCGGAAGAAUAAGCACCGGCUAACUACGUG
Molecule: ribosomal RNA, 486 nt
Filed under: uncultured bacterium
Lineage: Bacteria
Description: partial 16S ribosomal RNA
Rfam family: Bacterial small subunit ribosomal RNA
Source: RNAcentral